GAGGAGGGCCGGAGGCAAUAAGUACUGCUAAUACUUACACCCAUGGUUAAAUUCCAUGGCUUCCUUGAG
RNAcentral lists this transfer RNA (69 nucleotides) under Triplophysa scleroptera. RNAcentral's name for it is "tRNA-Ser". Lineage: Eukaryota; Metazoa; Chordata; Actinopteri; Cypriniformes; Nemacheilidae. RNAcentral also lists the same sequence under 1 other name. The record is from RNAcentral.